CCUACGGGGGGCAGCAGUGGGGAAUUUUGGACAAUGGGCGCAAGCCUGAUCCAGCCAUGCCGCGUGCGGGAAGAAGGCCUUCGGGUUGUAAACCGCUUUUGUCAGGGAAGAAACGCUCUGGGCUAAUACCUCGGGGUAAUGACGGUACCUGAAGAAUAAGCACCGGCUAACUACGUGCCAGCAGCCGCGGUAAUACGUAGGGUGCAAGCGUUAAUCGGAAUUACUGGGCGUAAAGCGUGCGCAGGCGGUUAUGCAAGACAGAUGUGAAAUCCCCGGGCUUAACCUGGGAACUGCAUUUGUGACUGCAUAGCUAGAGUACGGUAGAGGGGGAUGGAAUUCCGCGUGUAGCAGUGAAAUGCGUAGAUAUGCGGAGGAACACCGAUGGCGAAGGCAAUCCCCUGGACCUGUACUGACGCUCAUGCACGAAAGCGUGGGGAGCAAACAGGAUUAGAUACCCGAGUAGUC
RNAcentral lists this ribosomal RNA (465 nucleotides) under Megasphaera cerevisiae. RNAcentral's name for it is "bacterial SSU rRNA". It matches the Rfam family "Bacterial small subunit ribosomal RNA", at positions 338 to 795 of the family's 1533-position model. Lineage: Bacteria; Bacillati; Bacillota; Negativicutes; Veillonellales; Veillonellaceae. The record is from RNAcentral.